Long non-coding RNA from Dioscorea cayenensis subsp. rotundata (Guinea yam), 5583 nucleotides. RefSeq lists it as uncharacterized. Lineage: Eukaryota; Viridiplantae; Streptophyta; Magnoliopsida; Dioscoreales; Dioscoreaceae. The record is from RefSeq and is a predicted model, not a curated record. The transcript has 3 exons.
UCUUAUCCGCCACUUUUCCCACCUAUAUACAUCCUUACUGUUCACUUCUUUCUUUUUUUGAGAUCCCCUUUUCAUUUCCUGCAUCUUCUAUUUCUUAUUUUACUAACCUCCUCUCCUGAGCCUUGAUUUUGAAAGCCAAGCCAACUCAAGAGCAAGAGCUUCUGUGCCCCUUCAUGCUUCUUUCGACGGUGAUUUAGGGCUUUCAUGCAGUACUUCUCUCAUUGAUUCAUCUAUUGUAAAAACUCAAUCCCUUCAUAGAGGUAUUAAUUCCUCCUUAUUGUGCAUAGGUGACAUACUUUUCUCACCAUGGCCAUUUUUUAUAUACUGUGUUCUACCAAUUUUACUGUGACACCAUGGUUCAGGCAACGUUGUCUGAGCAUUUCAUCAUAGAUUCAGCACUUCCUGAUUUGAAGAUAUUUAAUAAUUUGUUGUGGAUUCAUUCUUUGAGUCCAAGAAAGUUGCAAAAGAAGAGUCCAAGCAAGUUGAAGUAGAAGAAGAAGAAGAGAGUUCUAGUAGUAGCCGCCACAGGGAGGAGUAUGCCUCAAAUGGGGAUCUCAUUAUCUAUUAAGUGAUUAUUUUAAUUUUUGCUUUAGAAUUUUUUGUCUUUCUUAUUGGAUGAUUUAUUUUUGUCUUUCAUUUUUUUCUUUUAGCUUACCAAAAAAAUGACUGGUUACACUGCAAGAAUAUAAUGGCACCUCAUUGGUCUCAAUUAGGGAAUAUUUUAGAAGAGAUGGGAAGGAGUUUCCACCACCAAAGUAUUUUCUUUCUUACUUUUUGUACAUAACAUCCAUAUAUAUAUACAGUUAUUAGUUGGGGUUAGUUAUUUAAUUUUUUGUUUGUAUUUUAUCUGAAGGUAUUAGUUUGCUAAUUGAUAAAUGGGAAACUUUGAAAAUGCCAUUCCAACAAUUGACAAGGAUUUUGAAAAACUAGAAUACUAGAUGGCUUCGUAGUAUUUAUUUCAGAUAUAUAAUAAAAUAAAAAUUUGAUUGCUAUAUUAUUUUAGAGUGUAUCCCUAUAGGAAAGAAUGUGGUAUGCUUAUAAGGAUUUGUCAUUAUCAUCAAAUCAUAUUUUUAUUGAUUAAUCAGUAAAACAUUAUUAUUGUUGCAAUGUUUAUUAUUUUGAUUUUCUCAUGCAGGAGCAGGCUUAAAAGUAAUAAACAUUGCUAUAUUAUUUUGUUUAUUAUCUUAAAGCCUUUUUGUAUCAGUUUUAGUGUAGUAUGUGGAUGUUUUGACUCAUGGAUUGUCUCAAUUUUUGCACUCCUAAUGUUGAAGAUUUUGUUAUUUAUUUUUAAUUUUUUAAUGAACACUGCUAAAAAUCUGGCUAAAGUGGUAAGUCAUGUGUCACAUUCAUCAUUUGCUGCACAUUUUUUUUUUACCAGGCCCAUCUAGACCUUUUUUGGUUGUAUGGGUGCUUCAUAUUUUUUUUUGUCAAGAAUGCGUGACUCACUAUACAAGUUUAAUGUGUUUCAAAUAUAAAAAUUUAUUUGCUAAAAAAUAUAGUUGAUUGAGGGAUUCAACUUCUAUUCAAAUUGAAAUAAUUGAAAAAUAUUACUUUGGAUUUCUGUCUGGGUUGUGAGGUAAUGCAACACUUAUUUUGUUUGUGUUCUUGAAUUGUUUGUGUUCUUGAAUGGCAGGAGAUGGAGGAGGAGAUUUAAUUUAUGCUUUCAUAAAACUCAUGUGAGAAAGUUGACUUAUUUUUAGCAGGAGUAUAUGGGAGAUGAUUGGACUCAUACAUCAUGAUUCCAUGGUAUUGGGAAUGUAUGCCACUGAAGGGCAAAGGACUAAUACUGACAAAAGACGAGAGCAGUACAGAAAGAGUGAUUGGAACCAAGUUAAGAACAACUCUACUAAAUGAAACAGGUUCUUUGAUAGUAAGUGUAGAGGGAGAGCAAUUGGACACCAUGGAAGAUCAAGGGAAAUGGCAUAGGACCCAUUCAAAAUUAUGUUCACUCCACUCUUGAGUAUUCUCAAUCAAGUAUAGUGCACCCAUCAGUUACAGCAAACAACUUUGAGCUUAAGCAUGCGUUUGUAUAGAUGGUUCAGAAUUCAAUACAGUUCCAUGGAUUAUAAAAUGAGGAUCCUAACAAUCAUAUUGGGGGAUUCCUCGAAGUAUGUGACAUGCUGAAGAUUAACAAUAUUUCUGAUAACGACAUUAGACUUGGCUUAUUCCCAUUUUCACUAAAUGGAAGAGCUAAAUAGUGGAUUCAGGUUUUUCCUCGAGCAUCUAUCAUGACUUGGGAACAACUUGUUGAAGCGUUCUUGGAUCAUUAUUGCUGUCUAGGAAGAAUGACCAAGCUGCGUCAAGAGAUUACAGCUUAUGCAUAGAUGGACAGUGAAUUAUUAUUUUAAGGCGUGAGAGAGAUAUAAAGACUUGUUAAGGAAAUGCCCACAUCAUGACCACCCUGAGUGGAUGGAAGUUUAGAUUUUCCAUCAAGGAUUUAAUCAGAGUACCCGACAACUUAUUGAUUCGGUAGUGAGAGGAUCACUUGGUAAUACGACCUCAGAGGCAACCAAGCAGUUAUUUUACGAAAUAGCCAUGAACAAUUAUCAAUGGAAUUUGAGAGGCAAAUUAGUAUCGAACCAGCUGGGAUGAUCGGAGAUAGUGAAGUCAUAGUACUAGCAACCCAGAUGGAAGCCUUAAGCUGAAAGAUUGACAAUUUGUCUACAAAGAAGCCAGCUACAUCAUGGCGUAUAAUACUUGUGGGGAGGACAUGACUUGAUAGAUUGUUCAAUUAUUAGAGCGGCACACAGACUCACCGAAUAGGUAGAUUUUGUUGGUAGUGCCUUCCGACAACAAGGGAACCCCUACAGUGGCACAUACAACCCAGGAUGGCUGAAUCACCCCAAUUUCUCUUGGAAAAAUCAAGAGCAGUAGCAGAAGCGCUGCCAGGAUUCCCUCCUCACCAAUAAAAUAACAAGAGACCAGCAUUGGAGGAAGUACUCGCUCAGUUUAUUCAGAGUACAGAUAUUAAGUUCCAGCAGUUAGACAACCGCUUCCAAAGCAUAGGAACGGGUAGAUUGCCAAACUAUUAUUUGAACAGACUCAAGGAAGCUUACUGAGUAACACUGAAGCCAAUCCCCAUGAACAUCUCAAGGCAAUUACUUUUCGAAUUGGUAAAGAAAUGGGAACAGGUAGUGAAAAGGUGAUGGAGAAGGAAAAUGAGCUAGAAAUUGAAGUUAUUGAGAGUCCGGUAAGGGAAAGCUAGACUACCCCAAAUGUUGAGAAGAGAACACCAUCACCGGUGAAGGAGUACGUUCCCUAUCUACCUUACCAUCAAGAUUAAAGAAUCAUUAUACGGAUGAACAAUUAAAGUGAUUUCUGGAUUUGUUGAAGCAAUUGCAGAUCAAUGUAUCAUUUGUUGAAGCCUUGUCUCAAAUGCCAUAGUAUGCAAAGUUCCUCAAGGACCUAUUAACGAACAAGUGGAAAUUUGAGGAGGUAUCAAUGGUAACAUUGAUCGAAGGGAGUUCGGUGUAGCUUCAGAACUGACUACCAAGGAAACAAAAAGAUCUGAGGAGUUUUACUAGCCCUUUUAACAUUGGUGAAUUAGUAAAUGAAAAAGCCCUAGAGGAUCUAGGUGCUAGUAUUAAUGUGAUGCCUUACACCAUGUUUAAGAGGCUUAGACUUUGUGACCUUAAACCAACUAGGAUGGCAUUGUAACUAGUGGACCGCUCCAUUAGACAUCCUAGGGGAAUUAUAGAAAAUGUUUUAGUUAAGGUUGACAAAUUUAUUUUCCUGGUAGAUUUUGUGAUUUUAGAUGUAGAUGAAAAUGUUGAAGUGCCCCUCAUUCUUGGUAGGCCAUUUCUAGCCACCUCACAAGCCCUCAUUGAUGUUAAUAAUGGUAAAAUGACAAUUAGUUUCGGGGAUGAGGAAGUCAUGUCUGCUUUAUCUGAUGCAAUGAAGCAUCCUUCUACUUUUGAUGAUACUUAUUAUUUUCUUGAUAAAACUAAUUUGAUUGUUGAUGAAUAUGUGCAGGAAAUCUUACACAAUGAGCCUUUUGAGGAGUCAUUGGAUGCCCCUCAUAUUGAAGAGACCACCCCUUUUCUUACACCAACCAUAAUUGAGGAGAACAUGAGCGAAAAGCAUAGGUGUGAGGUCACUUUCCCAAGAAAGUCAAGAGAAAACCUUCGCCCAAGAUGGUAACCCCCGAAUCGGUCAACUUUAUUGAUGGUUAGAGUAAAGAGAGCAGCUUCUAGGCCGGCCAAGAGGAAGAGACCCGAGGCAUCCACCUCGGGUACAAUACAGUUGCUGCAAAGGAAACAUCGGCUCUCUCGACUCUUUUAGCCCCUACUUGUUCUGAGGUUCUCUUUCAAGAAUGGUUUGCCAGCUUGAGAAUGAAAUGGUUUGGCUAAUUUUAUACGAUGGAUUGGCCUGUACUAUCACAAGUAGGGCUUGAGGACAAGGUCAUGAGGAUAAUGCAGAUGGGUGACUGGAGCUGAUUAUUUUCAAUAUAGGAGCAGGUGUACAGCGACACCACCCUCGAGGUCCUCAGCACAUUUUAAUUAGACUAAGGAUUGAUAGGUUUUGCCUGUCUAGGAGUGAUCCGAUUCCAGCUUUUGAGGGAGCAGCAGACGCAGACACACACAGAGUUCGUUCUAAUGAUGGGGUUUUAUGACACCAAUUUUACUAGCACCCCACAGUAUGAAGAACUCUUCAUCGAUUUUCCUCCUAGCGUCACCUCCAAAAGAGUAUAGAAAUAUCUAAGUAUAGGCGGGAGGUACGAGCCGGGUCUAACGAAGGCCUCAUUUCUUAUCCGGCCAACUCUCAAGUAUGUAUAAGCUAUCAUUAACAGAUCCUGUACAAGGUGAGGAGAUAGCACCGGAGUGGUGGGGUGGUAGGAGCUCUUAUUCCUAUUGAGUCUGGUUGAAUGUCGGCCCAUCCACCUAGGCUACGCCUUGGCAGAUUUCAUCUCUCACCAGGACUAGCAUGUAUGCCUAGGUGCGAUCUUUGCUAGUCCAUACAUUACACGGCUCAUUAGGGUAUAGGAAUGGGAGAUCGGCUCUAGGGUAGGGGAAUGGACAUGUUGCGUCUUAUGGGGAUGGUCGUCUGCCGCUACUCCAAAUGGGUCGCCACCCCUAGCAGGACAGAGCAGCCACCUAAGGUGGGUGAGGCAGAAGAUGAGGAGUCGGAUGAUGAGUCCGAUAGUGAGUUAUCCUUACCAUCAGCCAUUGCACUAGUGAGUGUAGCCAGUCCGUAGUAACACAUUCUCGAUGACGGUCGAAGAUUCAGGAGUUGUGAACUGAGAUACGACAGCUGCAAGAGGGCCAGCAAACCAUCCUAGAGACCUAGGCAUGGCUCGAGGCCGACCUUGGCCGUGCACUAGAUCUACUCUCACGGCUGGUCCCUUAUCUAGUUCCAACCCCUCCGGCAUCGACCCCUCCAUCAUCACCGCAUUCGCUGACCGAUUUAGCUCCAUCAGAUACCGCCAAGCAUUAGCUUUAUUUUGUUUUAUUUCAUUUUGUGUUUUAUUUCAGACUUUGUAUUCAUCAUUUAUGGCAAGGGUUGGCUCUGCCUAGUUUAUACUUAUUUUGAGACUUUUAGUGGAUUUUAUCUUCUGUUUUUGUUACUUUGUUUUGUUAAGCUUUA